This 524-nucleotide long non-coding RNA is filed under the name Physcomitrium patens. RNAcentral describes it as "long non-coding RNA (PPAT_LNC013392)". Lineage: Eukaryota; Viridiplantae; Streptophyta; Bryopsida; Funariales; Funariaceae. The record is from RNAcentral.
UUAGAAUUUAGGGUUUGGUUAGGGUUUGAUUUAGGAUUUGGAUUAGGUAUGGGAUUAGGAUUUAGAGUUUGGUUAGGAUUUGAUUUAGGGUUUGGAUUAGGGUUUAGAAUUUGGUUAGGGUUUGAUUUAAGGUUUGGUUUAGGAUUUAGGGUUUGGUUUAGGGUUUAGGGUUGAUUUAGGGUUUGGUUUAGGGUUUAGAAAUAGGGUUUGAUUUAGGGUUUAAUUUAAGGUUUGUUUAGGACUUGACUAGGGUUUAGGAUUUGUUAGGAUUUAAGAUUUAAUUAGGUUUGGUCUAAAGUUUGAGUGAAAUUCAAUAGGGUUUUAAUUAGAAUUAAAUUAAGGUUGAAUUGACAUAUAUUUGAGUAAUAUUUGUGAUCAUUCUAAUAUUUCUUUAAGAAUUUUAUUGUUUGUUAUCUAUAUUUAAGGAUUUCGACCAAUAGAGAUGAAGUUCCUUAUUUCUACCUUCAUCCAACCAUGCCUUGGUUUCAUCCCUCCUAAUUAACCUCCUAUUAGUUUAAAUCUUC